AUGAAUGCUGGCGGCGUGGAUAAGGCAUGCAAGUCGCACGGUUUUUCUUUUCAAGAAGGUUGAGAUUACAUCAAGACCGACGAGAUUUGAAAGAUAGUGGCGAACGAGUUAGUAACGCCUUGGUAUGUACCCUUUGGUCUAGCAUAGCUCAUCGAAAGGUGGGGUAAUUCUAGAUAGUCUCGCAAGAGUAAAGCAGCAAUGCGCCAUUGGAGCAGCCUAUAUCCUAUCAGUUAGUUGGUGAGGUAAUGGCUCACCAAGGCAAUGACGGGUAGCGGUUCUGAGAGGAUGAUCCGCCACACUGGUACUGAGACACGGACCAGACUCCUACGGGAGGCAGCAGUGAGGAAUAUUGCACAAUGGGGGGAACCCUGAUGCAGCAACGCCGCGUGGAGGAUGACGCAUUUCGGUGUGUAAACUCCUUUUAUAUGUCAAGAAAAUGACGGUAGCAUAUGAAUAAGCACCGGCUAACUCCGU
This 474-nucleotide ribosomal RNA is filed under the name uncultured bacterium. RNAcentral describes it as "bacterial SSU rRNA". It matches the Rfam family "Bacterial small subunit ribosomal RNA", at positions 29 to 506 of the family's 1533-position model. The record is from RNAcentral.